AUUGAACGCUGGCGGCAGGCCUAACACAUGCAAGUCGAACGGUAACAGGAAACAGCUUGCUGUUUCGCUGACGAGUGGCGGACGGGUGAGUAAUGUCUGGGAAACUGCCUGAUGGAGGGGGAUAACUACUGGAAACGGUAGCUAAUACCGCAUAACGUCGCAAGACCAAAGAGGGGGACCCUCGGGCCUCUUGCCAUCGGAUGUGCCCAGAUGGGAUUAGCUUGUUGGUGGGGUAACGGCUCACCAAGGCGACGAUCCCUAGCUGGUCUGAGAGGAUGACCAGCCACACUGGAACUGAGACACGGUCCAGACUCCUACGGGAGGCAGCAGUGGGGAAUAUUGCACAAUGGGCGCAAGCCUGAUGCAGCCAUGCCGCGUGUAUGAAGAAGGCCUUCGGGUUGUAAAGUACUUUCAGCGGGGAGGAAGGAAGUAAAGUUAAUACCUUUGCUCAUUGACGUUACCCGCAGAAGAAGCACCGGCUAACUCCGUG
RNAcentral lists this ribosomal RNA (490 nucleotides) under uncultured bacterium. RNAcentral's name for it is "partial 16S ribosomal RNA". It matches the Rfam family "Bacterial small subunit ribosomal RNA", at positions 30 to 507 of the family's 1533-position model. The record is from RNAcentral.